RNAcentral lists this long non-coding RNA (170 nucleotides) under Penaeus japonicus. RNAcentral describes it as "uncharacterized LOC122261860". The record is from RNAcentral. Lineage: Eukaryota; Metazoa; Arthropoda; Malacostraca; Decapoda; Penaeidae.
AACUGACAGUAGCUUGUUUAACAGGUUUCAAGCGAUGACAGUGCCACAGGUACAGUGCCAACGUCAGUUCUCUCCUAUUCUGACUACAUCACUCGCGCUGAUGACCCUACGUCAGUGAUCACGUUCGGUCGAGGCGAGAGUCACGCAGCCGGCUCAGUGUUGUGAUCGAC